UGGGGAAUUUUGGACAAUGGGCGAAANCCUGAUCCAGCAAUGCCGCGUGUGUGAAGAAGGCCUUCGGGUUGUAAAGCACUUUUGUCCGGAAAGAAAUCCUUGGCUCUAAUACAGUCGGGGGAUGACGGUACCGGAAGAAUAAGCACCGGCUAACUACGUGCCAGCAGCCGCGGUAAUACGUAGGGUGCAAGCGUUAAUCGGAAUUACUGGGCGUAAAGCGUGCGCAGGCGGUUUGCUAAGACCGAUGUGAAAUCCCCGGGCUCAACCUGGGAACUGCAUUGGUGACUGGCAGGCUAGAGUAUGGCAGAGGGGGGUAGAAUUCCACGUGUAGCAGUGAAAUGCGUAGAGAUGUGGAGGAAUACCGAUGGCGAAGGCAGCCCCCUGGGCCAAUACUGACGCUCAUGCACGAAAGCGUGGGGAGCAAACAGGAUUAGAUACCCUGGUAGUCCACGCCCUAAACGAUGUCAACUAGUUGUUGGGGAUUCAUUUCCUUAGUAACGUAGCUAACGCGUGAAGUUGACCGCCUGGGGAGUACGGUCGCAAGAUUAAAACUUCAAAUGGAAUUGACGGGGUCAUAGCUGUUUCCU
This 587-nucleotide ribosomal RNA is filed under the name uncultured bacterium. RNAcentral describes it as "partial 16S ribosomal RNA". It matches the Rfam family "Bacterial small subunit ribosomal RNA", at positions 355 to 1375 of the family's 1533-position model. The record is from RNAcentral.